CGGUGGAGGGAAGGGAAUUAAGAGCAAGAAGACCACGUCAGGCUGCUGCCUUGGCCGGCAGGAAACAAGAGUGUGUAAAGAAAGCUGCUGACUCCUUAAGAGAGCUUUGCUUAUGAAGCUGAACUCAAAACUCACUGAGGCACCAACAGAAACACCAAUUAUGCCAUGACAAGGUGACCACUGGUAACUCACUGAGGCACCAACAGAAACACCAAUUAUGCCAUGACAAGGUGACCACUGGUAACUCACUGAGGCACCAACAGAAACACCAAUUAUGCCAUGACAAGGUGACCACUGGUAACUCACUGAGGCACCAACAGAAACACCAAUUAUGCCAUGACAAGGUGACCACUGGUAACUCACUGAGGCACUAACAGAAACACCAAUUAUGCCAUGACAAGGUGACCACUGGUAACUCACUGAGGCACUAACAGAAACACCAAUUAUGCCAUGACAAGGUGACCACUGGUAACUCACUGAGGCACCAACAGAAACACCAAUUAUGCCAUGACAAGGUGACCACUGGUAACUCACUGAGGCACCAACAGAAACACCAAUUAUGCCAUGACAAGGUGACCACUGGUAACUCACUGAGGCACCAACAGAAACACCAAUUAUGCCAUGACAAGGUGACCACUGGUAACUCACUGAGACACUAACAGAAACACCAAUUAUGCCAUGACAAGGUGACCACUGGUAACUCACUGAGGCACCAACAGAAACACCAAUUAUGCCAUGACAAGGUGACCACUGGUAACUCACUGAGACACUAACAGAAACACCAAUUAUGCCAUGACAAGGUGACCACUGGUAACUCACUGAGGCACUAACAGAAACACCAAUUAUGGCAUGACAAGGCAAGGUGACCACUGGUGCUGUGUUGAGGUGAGUCAAACACAGCAAUCACACAGUGACAAGGUAAGGUGACUGCAGUGCUGUGUUGAGGUAAAGUAAGCACUGCAGUGACGUGUGCCAGGGACUCGCUGUGACAAGAGCGACACUCGGGGGGG
Eriocheir sinensis (Chinese mitten crab) is the source of this 1010-nucleotide long non-coding RNA. RefSeq lists it as uncharacterized. The record is from RefSeq and is a predicted model, not a curated record. The transcript is spliced from 3 exons. NCBI's taxonomy places the organism in Eukaryota, Metazoa, Arthropoda, Malacostraca, Decapoda, Varunidae.